UACAGGGCAGAUGAAUUAUACUAGAGCAAGGUGGAUAACACUAAUCAAGUACUUACAACAACCUAAAAACUAGCAGCAACAAGGGUCGGGCAUAAUGACAAACAGAUAAAGAACAGGAGCAUCAGACACAGAAGGUUAUUGCAACAUCCGCAUUAUGAAAGAACUUGCAGUUCAUACUUAAGCAAGACAGCAGUAGCAAUAAAUAAUGGUGAGUACGCAAACUUCAUGCUUAAGAAAGAAAGUGGCAAUAUGCCUUUAGGUUGUGGUACAAAGAGACAAGAACACAACUGACAUGCAUUACAAGCAUACACAGUUGGACACAAAUACAGUGCACACGAAUUAUACUUCACCAAGGUGGAUAACGCAAAAACAACUAUUUACAACAAAGCUACCAACCAUUGAGCAGUAAAGUAAGGCAUAUUUUAUUAUACGCAGAAGUGUAUAUAAACUGAUGGGAUACACAUACUACAGAGCUAAACAAAAACGAAUUGUCUACUGUAACUAUUGUAUGUCCAUGUACAAGCCUUGCAAAGUACUAUCCCAACAAAGAACACCAGAAAGCAACAAAUAAACAUAACAUGCUUCAC
RNAcentral lists this long non-coding RNA (587 nucleotides) under Hordeum vulgare. RNAcentral describes it as "long non-coding RNA (HVUL_LNC021666)". Lineage: Eukaryota; Viridiplantae; Streptophyta; Magnoliopsida; Poales; Poaceae. The record is from RNAcentral.